RNAcentral lists this ribosomal RNA (497 nucleotides) under uncultured bacterium. Its description in RNAcentral is "partial 16S ribosomal RNA". It matches the Rfam family "Bacterial small subunit ribosomal RNA", at positions 28 to 507 of the family's 1533-position model. The record is from RNAcentral.
GAUGAACGCUGGCGGCGUGCCUAAUACAUGCAAGUCGAGCGAACAGACGAGGAGUUUGUCCCUUUGACGUUAGCGGCGGACGGGUGAGUAACAUGUGGAUCAUCUUCCUCUUUUUCGGGGAUAACUUCGGGAAACCGGAGACAAUACUAGAUAAUACAUCCUACCGCAGGGUUCAGUAGUGAAUGACGGUUUGGCUGUCACUUACAGACGGUUUCGCGUCGCAUUAGCGAGUUGGUAAGGUAACGGCUUACCAAGGCGACGAUGCGUAGCCGAGCUGAGAGGAUGAUCGGCCACACUGGAACUGAGACACGGUCCAGACUCCUACGGGAGGCAGCAGUAGGGAAUCUUGGGCAAUGGGCGAAAGCCUGACACAGCGACGCCGCGUGAGUGAUGAAGGUCUUCGGAUCGUAAAGCCCUGUUGUUAGGAAAGAACAACUGUGUACGAAAAUAUGGCCGUCUUGACGGUACCUAAACAAAAAGCACCGGCUAACUACGUG